RNAcentral lists this ribosomal RNA (468 nucleotides) under uncultured bacterium. RNAcentral's name for it is "partial 16S ribosomal RNA". It matches the Rfam family "Bacterial small subunit ribosomal RNA", at positions 28 to 507 of the family's 1533-position model. The record is from RNAcentral.
GACGAACGCUGGCGGCGUGCUUAACACAUGCAAGUCGAACGGAAAGGCCCUGCUUUUGUGGGGUGCUCGAGUGGCGAACGGGUGAGUAACACGUGAGUAGCCUGCCCUUGACUUUGGGAUAACUUCAGGAAACUGGGGCGAAUACCGGAUAGGAGCUCCUGCUGCAUGGUGGGGGUUGGAAAGUUUCGGCGGUUGGGGAUGGACUCGCGGCUUAUCAGCUUGUUGGUGGGGUAGUGGCUUACCAAGGCUUUGACGGGUAGCCGGCCUGAGAGGGUGACCGGCCACAUUGGGACUGAGAUACGGCCCAGACUCCUACGGGAGGCAGCAGUGGGGAAUAUUGCACAAUGGGCGGAAGCCUGAUGCAGCAACGCCGCGUGCGGGAUGACGGCCUUCGGGUUGUAAACCGCUUUCGCCUGUGACGAAGCGUGAGUGACGGUAAUGGGUAAAGAAGCACCGGCUAACUACGUG